RNAcentral lists this ribosomal RNA (419 nucleotides) under bacterium. RNAcentral's name for it is "partial 16S ribosomal RNA". It matches the Rfam family "Bacterial small subunit ribosomal RNA", at positions 355 to 776 of the family's 1533-position model. The record is from RNAcentral.
UGGGGGAUAUUGCACAAUGGGCGAAAGCCUGAUGCAGCGACGCCGCGUGGGGGAUGAAGGCCUUCGGGUUGUAAACUCCUUUUGCUCUGAACAAGGCGCACCAUGGGGUGUGUUGAGUGUAGGGGUUGAUUAGCGCCGGCUAACUACGUGCCAGCAGCCGCGGUAAUACGUAGGGCGCGAGCGUUGUCCGGAAUUAUUGGGCGUAAAGGGCUUGUAGGUGGCUGGUUGCGUCUGUCGUGAAAGCUCAUGGCUUAACUGUGGGUUUGCGGUGGGUACGGGCUGGCUUGAGUGCAGUAGGGGAGGCUGGAAUUCCUGGUGUAGCGGUGGAAUGCGCAGAUAUCAGGAGGAAUACCGGUGGCGAAGGCGGGUCUCUGGGCUGUUACUGACACUGAGGAGCGAAAGCAUGGGGAGCGAACAGG